Molecule: ribosomal RNA, 405 nt
Filed under: uncultured organism
Description: bacterial SSU rRNA
Rfam family: Bacterial small subunit ribosomal RNA
Source: RNAcentral
UGGGGAAUCUUGCGCAAUGGGCGAAAGCCUGACGCAGCAACGCCGCGUGCGGGAUGACAGCCUUCGUGGUUGUAAACCGCUUUCAGUAGGGACGAAAAUGACGGUACCUGCAGAAGAAGCUCCGGCUAACUACGUGCCAGCAGCCGCGGUAAUACGUAGGGGGCAAGCGUUGUCCGGAUUCAUUGGGCGUAAAGAGCUCGUAGGCGGUUCAGUAAGUCAGGCGUGAAAGCUCCGAGCUCAACUCGGAGACGCCGUCUGAUACUGCUGUGACUAGAAUCCAGUAGAGGAGUGGGGGACUCCUGGUGUAGCUGUGGAAUGCGCAGAUAUCAGGAAGAACACCAGCGGCGAAGGCGGCACUCUGGGCUGGUAUUGACGCUGAGGAGCGAAAGUGUGGGUAGCAAACAG